RNAcentral lists this ribosomal RNA (497 nucleotides) under uncultured bacterium. RNAcentral's name for it is "partial 16S ribosomal RNA". It matches the Rfam family "Bacterial small subunit ribosomal RNA", at positions 28 to 507 of the family's 1533-position model. The record is from RNAcentral.
GAUGAACGCUGGCGGCGUGCCUAAUACAUGCAAGUCGAGCGAACAGACGAGGAGCUUGCUCCUCUGACGUUAGCGGCGGACGGGUGAGUAACACGUGGAUAACCUACCUAUAAGACUGGGAUAACUUCGGGAAACCGGAGCUAAUACCGGAUAAUAUAUUGAACCGCAUGGUUCAAUAGUGAAAGACGGUUUUGCUGUCACUUAUAGAUGGAUCCGCGCCGCAUUAGCUAGUUGGUAAGGUAACGGCUUACCAAGGCAACGAUGCGUAGCCGACCUGGGAGGGUGAUCGGCCACACUGGAACUGAGACACGGUCCAGACUCCUACGGGAGGCAGCAGUAGGGAAUCUUCCGCAAUGGGCGAAAGCUUGACGGAGCAACGCCGCGUGAGUGAUGAAGGUCUUCGGUUCGUAAAACUCUGUUAUUAGGGAAGAACAAAUGUGUAAGUAACUAUGCACGUCUUGACGGUACCUAAUCAGAAAGCCACGGCUAACUACGUG